Molecule: ribosomal RNA, 497 nt
Filed under: uncultured bacterium
Lineage: Bacteria
Description: partial 16S ribosomal RNA
Rfam family: Bacterial small subunit ribosomal RNA
Source: RNAcentral
GAUGAACGCUGGCGGCGUGCCUAAUACAUGCAAGUCGAGCGAACAGACGAGGAGCUUGCUCCUCUGACGUUAGCGGCGGACGGGUGAGUAACACGUGGUUAACCUACCUAUAAGACUGGGAUAACUUCGGGAAACCGGAGCUAAUACCGGAUAAUAUAUUGAACCGCAUGGUUCAAUAGUGAAAGACGGUUUUGCUGUCACUUAUAGAUGGAUCCGCGCCGCAUUAGCUAGUUGGUAAGGUAACGGCUUACCAAGGCAACGAUGCGUAGCCGACCUGAGAGGGUGAUCGGCCACACUGGAACUGAGACACGGUCCAGACUCCUACGGGAGGCAGCAGUAGGGAAUCUUCCGCAAAGGGCGAAAGCUUGACGGAGCAACGCCGCGUGAGUGAUGAAGGUCUUCGGAUCGUAAAACUCUGUUAUUAGGGAAGAACAAAUGUGUAAGUAACUAUGCACGUCUUGACGGUACCUAAUCAGAAAGCCACGGCUAACUACGUG